GCCUUCGUAGUGUAGUGGUCAGCACGCUCGACGCGUAACUGAGUGGUCCGUGGUUCGAAUCCCGGCGAAGGCU
Molecule: transfer RNA, 73 nt
Filed under: Stegodyphus mimosarum
Lineage: Eukaryota; Metazoa; Arthropoda; Arachnida; Araneae; Eresidae
Rfam family: tRNA
About the family: Transfer RNA (tRNA) molecules are approximately 80 nucleotides in length. Their secondary structure includes four short double-helical elements and three loops (D, anti-codon, and T loops).
Source: Rfam by way of RNAcentral